RNAcentral lists this ribosomal RNA (428 nucleotides) under uncultured soil bacterium. RNAcentral describes it as "bacterial SSU rRNA". It matches the Rfam family "Bacterial small subunit ribosomal RNA", at positions 966 to 1393 of the family's 1533-position model. The record is from RNAcentral.
GAACCUUACCAGCGUUUGACAUGGGUACUAUGGUUAGCAGAGAUGCUUUCCUUCACUUCGGGUGGGUACCACACAGGUGCUGCAUGGCUGUCGUCAGCUCGUGUCGUGAGAUGUUGGGUUAAGUCCCGCAACGAGCGCAACCCUCACCUUCAGUUGCCAUCAUUUAGUUGGGCACUCUGAAGGAACUGCCGGUGACAAGCCGGAGGAAGGUGGGGAUGACGUCAAGUCCUCAUGGCCCUUACGCGCUGGGCUACACACGUGCUACAAUGGUGGUGACAAUGGGUCGCAAGUACGCGAGUACAAGCUAAUCUCCAAAAGCCAUCUCAGUUCGGAUUGCACACUGCAACUCGAGUGCAUGAAGUCGGAAUCGCUAGUAACCGUGGAUCAGCAUGCCACGGUGAAUACGUUCCCGGGCCUUGUCACACCGA